GAGUUUGAUCCUGGCUCAGAUUGAACGCUGGCGGCAGGCUUAACACACGCAAGUCGAACGGUAACAUGAGUGCUUGCACUUGAUGACGAGUGGCGGACGGGUGAGUAAUGUAUGGGGAUCUGCCGAAUGGAGGGGGACAACAGUUGGAAACGACUGCUAAUACCGCAUAAAGUUGAGAGACCAAAGCAUGGGACCUUCGGGCCAUGCGCCAUUUGAUGAACCCAUAUGGGAUUAGCUAGUUGGUAGGGUAAUGGCUUACCAAGGCGACGAUCUCUAGCUGGUCUGAGAGGAUGACCAGCCACACUGGAACUGAGACACGGUCCAGACUCCUACGGGAGGCAGCAGUGGGGAAUAUUGCACAAUGGGGGGAACCCUGAUGCAGCCAUGCCGCGUGUAUGAAGAAGGCCUUCGGGUUGUAAAGUACUUUCGGUGAUGAGGAAGGUGACGUAUCUAAUAGGUAUGUUAAUUGACGUUAAUUACAGAAGAAGCACCGGCUAACUCCGUGCCAGCAGCCGCGGUAAUACGGAGGGUGCGAGCGUUAAUCGGAAUGACUGGGCGUAAAGGGCAUGUAGGCGGAUAAUUAAGUUAGGUGUGAAAGCCCUGGGCUCAACCUAGGAAUUGCACUUAAAACUGGUUAACUAGAGUAUUGUAGAGGAAGGUAGAAUUCCACGUGUAGCGGUGAAAUGCGUAGAGAUGUGGAGGAAUACCGGUGGCGAAGGCGGCCUUCUGGACAGAUACUGACGCUGAGAUGCGAAAGCGUGGGGAGCAAACAGGAUUAGAUACCCUGGUAGUCCACGCUGUAAACGAUGUCGAUUUGGAGUUUGUUGCCUUGAGUGAUGGGCUCCGAAGCUAACGCGAUAAAUCGACCGCCUGGGGAGUACGGCCGCAAGGUUAAAACUCAAAUGAAUUGACGGGGGCCCGCACAAGCGGUGGAGCACGUGGUUUAAUUCGAUGCAACGCGAAGAACCUUACCUGGUCUUGACAUCCACAGAAUCUUGCAGAGAUGCGGGAGUGCCUUCGGGAACUGUGAGACAGGUGCUGCAUGGCUGUCGUCAGCUCGUGUUGUGAAAUGUUGGGUUAAGUCCCGCAACGAGCGCAACCCUUAUCCUUUGUUGCCAUCGGUUUGGCCGGGAACUCAAAGGAGACUGCCGUUGAUAAAGCGGAGGAAGGUGGGGACGACGUCAAGUCAUCAUGGCCCUUACGACCAGGGCUACACACGUGCUACAAUGGCGUAUACAAAGGGAGGCGA
RNAcentral lists this ribosomal RNA (1249 nucleotides) under uncultured Gammaproteobacteria bacterium. RNAcentral describes it as "bacterial SSU rRNA". It matches the Rfam family "Bacterial small subunit ribosomal RNA", at positions 9 to 1252 of the family's 1533-position model. Lineage: Bacteria; Pseudomonadati; Pseudomonadota; Gammaproteobacteria. The record is from RNAcentral.